This 497-nucleotide ribosomal RNA is filed under the name uncultured bacterium. Its description in RNAcentral is "partial 16S ribosomal RNA". It matches the Rfam family "Bacterial small subunit ribosomal RNA", at positions 28 to 507 of the family's 1533-position model. The record is from RNAcentral.
GAUGAACGCUGGCGGCGUGCCUAAUACAUGCAAGUCGAGCGAACAGACGAGGAGCUUGCUCCUCUGAUGUUAGCGGCGGACGGGUGAGUAACACGUGGAUAACCUACCUAUAAGACUGGGAUAACUUCGGGAAACCGGAGCUAAUACCGGAUAAUAUAUUGAACCGCAUGGUUCAAUAGUGAAAGACGGUCUUGCUGUCACUUAUAGAUGGAUCCGCGCUGCAUUAGCUAGUUGGUAAGGUAACGGCUUACCAAGGCAACGAUGCAUAGCCGACCUGAGAGGGUGAUCGGCCACACUGGAACUGAGACACGGUCCAGACUCCUACGGGAGGCAGCAGUAGGGAAUCUUCCGCAAUGGGCGAAAGCCUGACGGAGCAACGCCGCGUGAGUGAUGAAGGUCUUCGGAUCGUAAAACUCUGUUAUUAGGGGAGAACAAAUGUGUAAGUAACUGUGCACAUCUUGACGGUACCUAAUCAGAAAGCCACGGCUAACUACGUG